UUCAAUUCUAUCACAAUACAGAAAAAUAUAUAUAUGAAAGAAACAAUAAUGACAUACACAAUGUGGCUCAAUCAAUUGUUAUGUGCCCAGUACCAAUGCGGGAGGAUCAUUUGGGCCGCAGCGGGAUUUACUCUUAAUAUACGCAAUCUGUUGCGUAGUAUGUCCAGUCUAUAGUAAAAAUGUGUGUGUGAGCUGACCUGCCGAGGAUCUUGGACACGCAGCCGUUGGAGACCUGCAGGAUGCGGCUGAUGUCGCAAGGUCGCGCGCCGGAGUGCGCCAACUCCACGAUCUUCUGCCGCGUCGAGUCCGGCAGAG
This is a long non-coding RNA of Plodia interpunctella (Indianmeal moth), 315 nucleotides long. RefSeq lists it as uncharacterized. The record is from RefSeq and is a predicted model, not a curated record. The transcript is spliced from 3 exons. NCBI's taxonomy places the organism in Eukaryota, Metazoa, Arthropoda, Insecta, Lepidoptera, Pyralidae.